UGCUUUGGAUACUGUACCAGAAGUUGCUG
RNAcentral lists this non-coding RNA (29 nucleotides) under Mus musculus (house mouse). The record is from RNAcentral. RNAcentral also lists the same sequence under 1 other name. Lineage: Eukaryota; Metazoa; Chordata; Mammalia; Rodentia; Muridae.